UGUGUGUGUGCGCGCGCGUACGUGUGAGCGUGUACGUCUUGUGUGUUUGUUGUGUGUGUGUGUGUGUGCUUCUUGUGUUGUGUUAGAUUGAGGAGUAUGAGAAGCUAGAGCAACAGCUACGCACUGCCCUGGUAGACGUGGAGCAAAAGGAGAAACAGCUGCGAGAUGCGCAACAAGAGACCACACUGCUGCGUUCAUCGCUGGAGACACAGAAGGAGCGGCUUGCUGCUGAAUUGCGCGAUACGACGGAGCGACUGCAGGAGACGUUCCGGCACCAAUUAGACAUUGAGAGAUCACGAAAUCAGGAGUCGGAAAGUCAACGCCAGCAAAUGCAGCAGCAGCUCUCGGAUCUACAGCGUGCCGUACGACAACGUGAAGAGGAGCUGUUAACCUGCCGGGCAGAUCGUAACACGCAGCCUGAAGUCAAGUUACAGGCGGAGAUGAGCAUUGUACAGAUGGAGAAGGUGUGUCUAGCUCUAUCUCUCUCUCUCUCUCUCUCUCUCUCUCUCUCUCUCUCUCUC
Sycon ciliatum is the source of this 521-nucleotide long non-coding RNA. RefSeq lists it as uncharacterized. The record is from RefSeq and is a predicted model, not a curated record. NCBI's taxonomy places the organism in Eukaryota, Metazoa, Porifera, Calcarea, Leucosolenida, Sycettidae. The transcript has 3 exons.